This 569-nucleotide small RNA is filed under the name Histoplasma capsulatum var. duboisii H88. Its description in RNAcentral is "Histoplasma capsulatum H88 hypothetical RNA". Lineage: Eukaryota; Fungi; Ascomycota; Eurotiomycetes; Onygenales; Ajellomycetaceae. The record is from RNAcentral.
CCCCGAAGGCGAAGAUGGCCAAGAGAGUGAUUACGGUUUUGAAGAAGCUGAAUCAGCAGUUCCGAUCAAUCUUGCCAGUCAUGCUAUUGGUUUUCGGUCAAUGAUAAACUGGUUCGUUUGCCUAGGUUAUAGUAUUGCCCUCCUCAAUGGUCUGGAAUGUCGGGAUACCAAGGUAAUGGCGAUAAUUGUUACAGGCAGCGCAACAGGGGCUCGAAAGGCGUCCCCAUACAUCUCCACUGCUGAUGAUGAGCCAACUGGGAUUACUAGCGGGGUUUAUGAUGAAGACGGAAGGUCUGAUGCGGAAUCAGAGUCUACUUCUAGCAGUUUGGACGAUACUGAUGCUAACGAGGUCGUCGCCAAGGAACUCGCCAAAUUGGAUUUAAACACGAGUGGUAUCCCUGAAUCAAAAAGGGGAGCAAGAGGCCCGCAGGACUUGAAAAUUUUGCAAGAAUUCCAGAACAUCUUGAAGAAGUCCGAUUGUCAGGACCUGACCCAGCGUGACCUUGUCGUCGUCAUGACGCUGAGCCUGAUGUACAAAUACGGUGUCCUGGAAGGACACAGUGCCGCGG